RNAcentral lists this long non-coding RNA (1429 nucleotides) under Mytilus galloprovincialis (Mediterranean mussel). Lineage: Eukaryota; Metazoa; Mollusca; Bivalvia; Mytilida; Mytilidae. The record is from RNAcentral.
UUAAAAGAUAAAUAGGUGUUAUGGGGCAAAAUAUUUUACCUUGUAUUGUAUGGAAAAACACCAAAGAGUCCGAAACAUUUAACACUUAUUCCAAAACGUCACCUAAGUACAUCCUUAAUUUUGAUUCAUGAUUAUUGGCACGCAAGUGUGAUGUUGUUGCUUUACACCUAUUAUGGUUACCAUUAUCUAUUGAAAAGUCAGUGUACCAAAUACUCCAUGAUUUAUAAGUUUUUAUUUUUCGUGUUAACAGUUUAGCUUAGAUUUUCAUUUUUAAAUUGUGUGCCAACCUAUAUGAUUAAUGAGUCAUUUCUGUAACAAGUUUAACCACUUUUGUUUGAGGUAUUCUAUAGUCACAUCAACUUGAAACAUAUUUAUGGUUAUAUGUACAUGUAUAAUAUGAAAAUCGGUAUGUUGUGAUAUGUUUUGUAUAUAUGUUAUAGUCCGAGUUAACAUUCCUUACGUGCAUUUAAUCAUCUUAAGUUUUGAUCAUUUAGUGGUAGUUUGUUACAGUAAAAUAUUAGUAAUGAUUUCAACAAUUUAAUAUCAGUAAUGUUAAAGUCAAAUUAAACUGACUAGUUUCAAUAAAAUUCUUGAGAGUUGUAGCGGAGGGUGGGAAUAAAUAAUUUCCCAGAAAAAUUUGAAUGUCUGCUCAAAGCAAGCGUUGCUUUCAGAAUAAUUAUGUGCUUAUGCCUUAAACAAAAGCCCUGUCAAUUAAGCGCUGAUUAAUUAAUUCAAAUGCAGUCUUAAUUUUGAUUGGUUAAUUAGUAUGAUCUCGAAAAAGCAAUUAGUAAAAGAGACUUCACAUGCAGCAGCAACGGGGAAACCCCCACACUGAUUGGACCAAAUAGUAGACAGGGAUUUCCAAAAAAAAAUUAAAAUUAUAUGUACAAUCAUUGCACAAAAAUGUAUUAUGUAUAAAUUUAAAUAAUCUAUUUAUACAAAAUAUUUCCGAUAACCUAUUAUUUUUAAGAUACAAAUGUUCAUGGAUGUCUUUGGAACAGGUGAACUACAGAUUUGAAAGUUCAACGAAUAAUAAAUUUUCCAUAAGCUUUUAUGCAAACCUGAAACCACAUAAUAAAAUAUCCUAGAAAAUGCAAGUUUUCAUGAAUCGACAAAAAUUGGUACCAACUUGAAUAAAUGUAUCUACAGUAUGUUGAGCUUAAAACAGAGUCCUAUUCUUAUAUGGCCAUUAUGAUACUGUUAUAUCUGCAUGAUCGUGUGUGUUUGCCUAUAGAUAAAUGUUUUGUUAUUUUUACAAAACAAUAUCAGAAAUAGCAAACAGAUCUAAUAAUAUGUUUUUUAAAGAUAAUUCAUGCCCUAAUAUUAAGACCAUCAAUUUUGGUAAUUCUAGUCUUGUUACCUUUUAAAUAAAGUCAAAAUGGGUCUGUAAUCUUUAUAUAGUUUCUAUCACUUUUUAUUAACAAAUCAG